GAAUUUUGGACAAUGGGCGAAAGCCUGAUCCAGCAAUGCCGCGUGCAGGAUGAAGGCCUUCGGGUUGUAAACUGCUUUUGUACGGAACGAAAAGCUUUGGGUUAAUACCCUGGAGUCACGACGGUACCGUACGAAUAAGCACCGGCUACAUCAGUUACAGCAGCUGCGGUAAUACGUAGGGUGCAAGCGUUACUCGGAAUUACUGGGCGUAAAGCGGGCGCAGGCGGUUUUGUAAGACAGAGGUGAAAUCCCCGGGCUCAACCUGGGAACUGCCUUUGUGACUGCAAGGCUAGAGUACGGCAGAGGGGGGUGGAAUUCCGCGUGUAGCAGUGAAAUGCGUAGAUAUGCGGAGGAACACCGAUGGCGAAGGCAACCCCCUGGGCCUGUACUGACGCUCAUGCACGAAAGCGUGGGGAGCAAACA
Molecule: ribosomal RNA, 423 nt
Filed under: uncultured bacterium
Lineage: Bacteria
Description: partial 16S ribosomal RNA
Rfam family: Bacterial small subunit ribosomal RNA
Source: RNAcentral